UUUGAAUUUAAUUUAAAGUAGGGCCUGCCCACUGAGUAUUUGAAGGGCCGCAGUAUUUUGACUGUGCAAAGGUAGCAUAAUCAUUAGUUUUUUAAUUGAAAGCUUGUAUGAAUGGUUUGAUGAAAAAAUUUCUUUCUAUAUUUAACUUAAUAAGAAUUUUAUUUUUAAGUUAAAAAGCUUAAAUUUUUUUAAUAGACGAGAAGACCCUAUAGAGUUUGAUUUUUUAUAAAUUUUAAAAUAUUAAGAAUUUAAAUUUUUAAUUUUAUUAAAAAUUUGGUUGGGGUGACUGAAAAAUUAAAUUAACUUUUUUUGAAUUAAAACAUUUAUUUAUGAAUAUAUGAUCCAAAUUAUUGAUUAUAAGAAUAAAUUACCUUAGGGAUAACAGCGUUAUUUUUUUUUAGAGUUCAAAUCGAAAAAAAAGAUUGCGACCUCGAUGUUGGAUUAAAGUUAAUAUUUGGUGUAGAAGCUAAAAUAUUUGGUCUGUUCGACCAUUAAAACUUUACA
Molecule: ribosomal RNA, 504 nt
Filed under: Eriopis chilensis
Lineage: Eukaryota; Metazoa; Arthropoda; Insecta; Coleoptera; Coccinellidae
Description: partial large subunit ribosomal RNA
Rfam family: Bacterial large subunit ribosomal RNA (bases 378-504)
Source: RNAcentral